This 67-nucleotide microRNA precursor is filed under the name Callithrix jacchus (white-tufted-ear marmoset). Its description in RNAcentral is "microRNA 7-3 (ENSCJAG00000024354.4)". It matches the Rfam family "mir-7 microRNA precursor family", at positions 1 to 71 of the family's 91-position model. Rfam says of the family: This family represents the microRNA (miRNA) precursor mir-7. In this case the mature sequence comes from the 5' arm of the precursor. The record is from RNAcentral. RNAcentral also lists the same sequence under 1 other name. Lineage: Eukaryota; Metazoa; Chordata; Mammalia; Primates; Cebidae.
UGGUCUAGUGCUGUGUGGAAGACUAGUGAUUUUGUUGUUCUGAUGUACUAUGACAACAAGUCACAGC